Molecule: ribosomal RNA, 491 nt
Filed under: uncultured bacterium
Lineage: Bacteria
Description: bacterial SSU rRNA
Rfam family: Bacterial small subunit ribosomal RNA
Source: RNAcentral
GAUGAACGCUAGCGACAGGCUUAACACAUGCAAGUCGAGGGGCAGCAUGAUUUAACUUCGGUCAAAUUGAUGGCGACCGGCGCACGGGUGCGUAACACGUAUGCAACCUACCUUAUACAGGGGGAUAGCCCAUGGAAGCGUGGAUUAAUACCCCAUAGUACUUUAUAUUCGCAUGAAUGUAGGGUUAAAGUCUUCGGAUGGUUUAAGAUGGGCAUGCGUCCCAUUAGAUAGUUGGUGAGGUAACGGCUCACCAAGUGAAGGAUGGGUAGGGGUUCUGAGAGGAAGGUCCCCCAAACUUGAACUGAGACAAGGUCCAGACUCCUACGGGAGGCAGCAGUGGGGGAUAUUGCACAAUGGGGGAAACCCUGAUGCAGCGACGCCGCGUGGGUGAAGACGGCCUUCGGGUUGUAAAGCCCUGUUGAGGGUGACGAUAAUGACGGUACCCCUUUAGAAAGCCACGGCUAACUACGUGCCAGCCGCCGCUGUAAGAC